Transfer RNA from Coccidioides immitis RMSCC 3703, 91 nucleotides. It matches the Rfam family "tRNA". Rfam says of the family: Transfer RNA (tRNA) molecules are approximately 80 nucleotides in length. Their secondary structure includes four short double-helical elements and three loops (D, anti-codon, and T loops). Lineage: Eukaryota; Fungi; Ascomycota; Eurotiomycetes; Onygenales; Onygenaceae. The record is from Rfam.
UCCUCGAUGGUCUAACGGUUAUGAUUUCCGCUUGUCAUUUGUUAACAAUUAACAAGCGCGGGAGACCAGGGUUCGACUCCCUGUCGGGGAG